AUGCGUCACCUUAAGUUGGUACGCAAUAUGAGGGCACAUAGUGACCCAUGGUUUGCAGAAUAUCUAUUGCGCAUUGGUGAUGGUAAGGAGGUGACAAAUCGAGAUGGCGAGGUCCGCCUUCCAGACGAGAUAUGUGUGUCAAGAACUGGGAAGGACACUGACCUUGAUACACUGAUAGACAAUACUUUUCCUAGCCUCGAUGCUAACACGUCAGGCCCAGACUACAUCACCUCCAGAGCAAUCUUGUCGACACGGAAUGAUUCCGUGGAUAGGAUUAAUUUGAAGAUG
Molecule: ribosomal RNA, 288 nt
Filed under: Triticum aestivum (bread wheat)
Lineage: Eukaryota; Viridiplantae; Streptophyta; Magnoliopsida; Poales; Poaceae
Description: partial small subunit ribosomal RNA
Source: RNAcentral